GUUUUGGCAGCCAAUAACUAGCAUAUGCAAAAAGCAUAGAAAACAAUUAUAGAAAUUGAAAGCAUAAUAUUGUUUGCAAAGGGAUGAGAAGAAGAAGAUAUGAAUAUAUUCAUUGUGCACAGAUUUGACUCCUUACAUUGUUUGGUUAUUAAGGUCAUCAUCUACAGUAAUGAAUCAGUUGACCAUUUUCAUACAGAACUACAUUCAUAGUCGUUGAUGGCAAAGAUAACCAAAAUACAUGUACCUAUCAUCAAAGCUGAAAAAAGCCUAUGCUUUAAACACAGAAGUAUCCAUCCAAAAAAUUCCUGGAAAGAUGAUUUAAACAAUAACAGCCACUUCUGUAACAGUUUCCUCGAAAGAUUAUUUAAACAAG
This 373-nucleotide unclassified non-coding RNA is filed under the name Hevea brasiliensis (rubber tree). The record is from RNAcentral. Lineage: Eukaryota; Viridiplantae; Streptophyta; Magnoliopsida; Malpighiales; Euphorbiaceae.